Molecule: ribosomal RNA, 239 nt
Filed under: uncultured bacterium
Lineage: Bacteria
Description: partial 16S ribosomal RNA
Rfam family: Bacterial small subunit ribosomal RNA
Source: RNAcentral
CGUGAGCAAUCUACCUUGGAGUGGGGAAUAACGGCUGGAAACAGCCGCUAAUACCGCAUGAUGCGUCUGGGCCGCAUGGCUCUGGGCGCCAAAGAUUCAUCGCUCUGAGAUGAGCUCGCGUCUGAUUAGCUGGUUGGCGGGGUAACGGCCCACCAAGGCGACGAUCAGUAGCCGGCCUGAGAGGGUGAACGGCCACAUUGGGACUGAGACACGGCCCAAACUCCUACGGGAGGCAGCAG